GACGAACGCUGGCGGCGUGCCUAAUACAUGCAAGUAGAACGCUGAAGAGAGGAGCUUGCUCUUCUUGGAUGAGUUGCGAACGGGUGAGUAACGCGUAGGUAACCUGCCUUGUAGCGGGGGAUAACUAUUGGAAACGAUAGCUAAUACCGCGUAACAAUGGGUGACUCAUGUCAUUUAUUUGAAAGGGGCAAAUGCUCCACUACAAGAUGGACCUGCGUUGUAUUAGCUAGUAGGUGAGGUAACGGCUCACCUAGGCGACGAUACAUAGCCGACCUGAGAGGGUGAUCGGCCACACUGGGACUGAGACACGGCCCAGACUCCUACGGGAGGCAGCAGUAGGGAAUCUUCGGCAAUGGGGGCAACCCUGACCGAGCAACGCCGCGUGAGUGAAGAAGGUUUUCGGAUCGUAAAGCUCUGUUGUAAGUCAAGAACGAGUGUGAGAGUGGAAAGUUCACACUGUGACGGUAGCUUACCAGAAAGGGACGGCUAACUACGUGCCAGCAGCCGCGGUAAUACGUAGGUCCCGAGCGUUGUCCGGAUUUAUUGGGCGUAAAGCGAGCGCAGGCGGUUUGAUAAGUCUGAAGUUAAAGGCUGUGGCUCAACCAUAGUUCGCUUUGGAAACUGUCAAACUUGAGUGCAGAAGGGGAGAGUGGAAUUCCAUGUGUAGCGGUGAAAUGCGUAGAUAUAUGGAGGAACACCGGUGGCGAAAGCGGCUCUCUGGUCUGUAACUGACGCUGAGGCUCGAAAGCGUGGGGAGCGAACAGGAUUAGAUACCCUGGUAGUCCACGCCGUAAACGAUGAGUGCUAGGUGUUGGAUCCUUUCCGGGAUUCAGUGCCGCAGCUAACGCAUUAAGCACUCCGCCUGGGGAGUACGACCGCAAGGUUGAAACUCAAAGGAAUUGACGGGGGCCCGCACAAGCGGUGGAGCAUGUGGUUUAAUUCGAAGCAACGCGAAGAACCUUACCAGGUCUUGACAUCCCGAUGCUAUUUCUAGAGAUAGAAAGUUACUUCGGUACAUCGGUGACAGGUGGUGCAUGGUUGUCGUCAGCUCGUGUCGUGAGAUGUUGGGUUAAGUCCCGCAACGAGCGCAACCCCUAUUGUUAGUUGCCAUCAUUCAGUUGGGCACUCUAGCGAGACUGCCGGUAAUAAACCGGAGGAAGGUGGGGAUGACGCCAAAUCAUCAUGCCCCUUAUGACCUGGGCUACACACGUGCUACAAUGGUUGGUACAACGAGUUGCGAGUCGGUGACGGCAAGCUAAUCUCUUAAAGCCAAUCUCAGUUCGGAUUGUAGGCUGCAACUCGCCUACAUGAAGUCGGAAUCGCUAGUAAUCGCGGAUCAGCACGCCGCGGUGAAUACGUUCCCGGGCCU
Molecule: ribosomal RNA, 1369 nt
Filed under: uncultured bacterium
Lineage: Bacteria
Description: bacterial SSU rRNA
Rfam family: Bacterial small subunit ribosomal RNA
Source: RNAcentral